UACGUAGGGGCCAAGCGUUGUCCGGAUUUAUUGGGCGUAAAGAGCUCGUAGGCGGUUCGGCAAGUCAGCUGUGAAAUCUCCACGCUCAACGUGGAGGGGUCAGCUGAUACUGCUGUGACUUGAGUCCGGUAGGGGAGUGUGGAAUUCCCGGUGUAGCGGUGAAAUGCGCAGAUAUCGGGAGGAACACCAGUAGCGAAGGCGGCACUCUGGGCCGGUACUGACACUGAGAGACGAAAGCUAGGGGAGCAAACGGG
This 254-nucleotide ribosomal RNA is filed under the name uncultured bacterium. RNAcentral's name for it is "partial 16S ribosomal RNA". It matches the Rfam family "Bacterial small subunit ribosomal RNA", at positions 524 to 776 of the family's 1533-position model. The record is from RNAcentral.